AAACCAGCACCUCAAGUGGUCAGGAGGAUUAUUGGGCCUAAAGCAUCCGUAGCCUGUUCUGUAAGUUUUCGGUUAAAUCCAUUAGCUCAACUAAUGGGCCGCCGAAAAUACUGUAGAACUAGGGAGUGGGAGAGGUAGACGGUAUUCGGUAGGAAGGGGUAAAAUCCUUUGAUCUAUUGAGGACCACCUGUGGCGAAGGCGGUCUACCAGAACACGUUCGACGGUGAGGGAUGAAAGCUGGGGGAGCAAACCGGAUUAGAUACCCGGGUAGUCC
RNAcentral lists this ribosomal RNA (274 nucleotides) under uncultured bacterium. Its description in RNAcentral is "partial 16S ribosomal RNA". It matches the Rfam family "Archaeal small subunit ribosomal RNA", at positions 473 to 747 of the family's 1478-position model. The record is from RNAcentral.